Molecule: non-coding RNA, 29 nt
Filed under: Mus musculus (house mouse)
Lineage: Eukaryota; Metazoa; Chordata; Mammalia; Rodentia; Muridae
Source: RNAcentral
UGAGUCUUUCUCCCCAUGUGGACAAGGCC